AGAUGUAAAGGCAAUCUGGCUGGAAUGUCCGUUUUGCCUUCAGUCACCAAGAUUUGUCUGAUCUGACUGGCCAGAUGGCUGUUCUUCUUCCCUCACUGCUCUAGGUGCAUUCCUUCCAUUCCAUUGCCUGCUUGGUAGAAAAAAAUACCCAUCUCAGAUAGGAAUGUUCUGUUCUGGGUUGGGGUAUGUGAUGUAUAUGAUAGCUGGACUCCCUUUGCUAUAAUAUCCCGAGUUUGAUUUUUGAAAAGAGUUUUUAUGUAUGACCAGACUGAUCACAGUUUAUUUAAGUAUUGCCGAUGUCUCAUUUUGCAAUCCUUU
RNAcentral lists this small nuclear RNA (318 nucleotides) under Ophiophagus hannah (king cobra). Its description in RNAcentral is "7SK RNA". It matches the Rfam family "7SK RNA". From Rfam's summary of the family: 7SK was discovered as an abundant small nuclear RNA in the mid-70s but a possible function has only recently been suggested. Two independent studies have found that 7SK RNA binds the CDK9/cyclin T complex (known as elongation factor P-TEFb). Lineage: Eukaryota; Metazoa; Chordata; Lepidosauria; Squamata; Elapidae. The record is from Rfam by way of RNAcentral.